CCGUAACUAUAACGGUCCUAAGGUAGCGAAAUUCCUUGUCGGGUAAGUUCCGACCCGCACGAAAGGCGUAAUGAUUUGGGCACUGUCUCGACAAUGCACCCGGUGAAAUUGAAAUACCAGUGAAGAUGCUGGUUACCUGCGCCAGGACGGAAAGACCCCAUGGAGCUUUACUCCAGCUUGAUACUGGGAUUCGAUAUUGCAUGUACAGGAUAGGUGGGAGACUGAGAACUGAUGACGCCAGUUGUCAGGGAGUCACUGUUGGGAUACCACCCUUGUAGUAUUGGAUUUCUAACCAGCAGCCGUGAACCGGCUGGGGGACAAUGUCAGGUGGGGAGUUUGACUGGGGCGGUCGCCUCCGAAAGGGUAUCGGAGGCGCUCAAAGGUUCCCUCAGAAUGGUUGGAAACCAUUCGAAGAGUGCAAAGGCAGAAGGGAGCUUGACUGCGACACCGACGGGUGGAGCAGGUACGAAAGUAGGACUUAGUGAUCCGGUGGUAUAAAGUGGGAUUGCCAUCGCUCAACGGAUAAAAGCUACCCUGGGGAUAACAGGCUUAUCACUCCCAAGAGUUCACAUCGACGGAGUGGUUUGGCACCUCGAUGUCGGCUCAUCGCAUCCUGGGGCUGAAGUAGGUCCCAAGGGUUGGGCUGUUCGCCCAUUAAAGCGGUACGCGAGCUGGGUUCAGAACGUCGUGAGACAGUUCGGUCCCUAUCCGGCGUGGGCGUAGGAUAUUUGAGAGGAGCUGCCCUUAGUACGAGAGGACCGGGGUGGACUGGCCGCUGGUGGAUCUGUUGUAUUACCAAAUGCAUGGCAGAGUAGCCAAGCCGGGAAGGGAUAAACGCUGAAGGCAUCUAAGCGUGAAGCCCCCCUCAAGAUGAGAUAUCCCAUAACGUCAAGUUAGUAAGACCCCUUGAAGACGACAAGGUAGAUAGGACAGAGGUGGAAGUGCAGUAAUGUAUGCAGCUGACUGUUACUAAUCGGUCGAGGGCAUAACCAA
RNAcentral lists this ribosomal RNA (993 nucleotides) under human gut metagenome. RNAcentral's name for it is "bacterial LSU rRNA". It matches the Rfam family "Bacterial large subunit ribosomal RNA", at positions 1934 to 2925 of the family's 2925-position model. The record is from RNAcentral.